Pleuronectes platessa (European plaice) is the source of this 275-nucleotide long non-coding RNA. RefSeq lists it as uncharacterized. The record is from RefSeq and is a predicted model, not a curated record. Lineage: Eukaryota; Metazoa; Chordata; Actinopteri; Pleuronectiformes; Pleuronectidae. The transcript is spliced from 3 exons.
ACCCAACAGUGUUUUACUAUAUAAACAUGGUCCAACCUUUAUUUUGCCAUUCUGAGAUCCGGUUGCCAGAAGAUCGGUGUCCUGGCUGAAGCACAUACACAGCACAGCAUCAUCCAUCAUCAUGAAGCUGUCUUGUGCCUGUGUAGAAGUUCCACACCUCAAUGAACCCGUCCACCGAUCCGGUGAUCAGGGAAACGCAAAGAGGAGCAACUGGGGCGGCUCCACCUGGAUGCAAGUGAUGAAAGCACAGCCGGAGUCUGAGAUAAGUGCCUUCA